This 252-nucleotide ribosomal RNA is filed under the name uncultured bacterium. RNAcentral describes it as "partial 16S ribosomal RNA". It matches the Rfam family "Bacterial small subunit ribosomal RNA", at positions 524 to 776 of the family's 1533-position model. The record is from RNAcentral.
UACGGAGGAUGCGAGCGUUAUCCGGAUUUAUUGGGUUUAAAGGGUGCGUAGGCGGGAUGCCAAGUCAGCGGUAAAAAUGCGGUGCUCAACGCCGUCGAGCCGUUGAAACUGGCGUUCUUGAGUGGGCGAGAAGUAUGCGGAAUGCGUGGUGUAGCGGUGAAAUGCAUAGAUAUCACGCAGAACUCCGAUUGCGAAGGCAGCAUACCGGCGCCCUACUGACGCUGAGGCGCGAAAGCGUGGGGAGCAAACAGG